UACCUUUUGCCCGGCUACUAGUAGUACUUAAGAUUUAAUUAAGCUAGCCUAAUAUAGUCGUCUCACCGUAUAUAGGAAUUCCGUGUUAACCAUGUUAAGCAGCUGCGGCGGCGGCUGAGCUUGCUGGAGGCGAACGAACGAGCGAGCGCGUGGCGAGGUGGGUGGAUAGAUGUCGGCGAUGGCUCGGGGCCGUGAUCGAUCGUACGUCGUGCCGUCAGAUGCGUACGUACGGCAUAUACUAAGACCUUGUUUAGUUGGUAAAAUGAGGCAAAAUGAAAAGUUUUUGGAUAUUAUAGCAUUUUCGUUUGUUUGUGGUAAAUAUUGUCUAAUUAUGAUAGGCUCAAAAGAUUUAUCUCGCGAUUUACAAACAAAUAGUUAGUUUUUGUUUUUGAUUAUAUUUAAUGUUUCAUAUAUGUGCCGUAAGAUUCGAUGCGUUAGUGAAUCUUGAAAUUUUUUUUGUUUUUGGGUGAAUUAAACAAGGCCUAACUGAUGUUUAGUUGUAGGGCAUGUUGUUUGCCUUUUUUUUUAUGAAACAGGAGGGGUCGCCACCUACUGGAUUAUUAUUGAGAAUAAAUAGAACAGUUCUCCGUACAAAAAUAAUCAAGAAACAAAGAAGGAAAUAAAAAAAAUAAGACUAAUUGUACAAAUCUGUGCAGCCAUGAAUCUAGCAAAAUCUUGUAGUCCUCUUUAGCUCUGAGCUUAACCCAAGCCAGCUGUGUUCUGAGAACAGUCUUACAGUUCUGAAUGGAGUGCUGUAGAUUUUUGAAGAUACAAUCAUUUCUCUACGUCUAGAUGGCCCAGAGCAUGGAGAUAACAAUUU
This 820-nucleotide long non-coding RNA is filed under the name Sorghum bicolor (sorghum). Its description in RNAcentral is "long non-coding RNA (SBIC_LNC003926)". The record is from RNAcentral. Lineage: Eukaryota; Viridiplantae; Streptophyta; Magnoliopsida; Poales; Poaceae.